UACGUAGGGUGCAAGCGUUGUCCGGAAUUAUUGGGCGUAAAGGGCUCGUAGGCGGUCCAUCGCGUCGGGAGUGAAAAGCUGGGGCUCAACCCCAGUCCUGCUUCCGAUACGGGUGGACUAGAGGUAGGUAGGGGAGAACGGAAUUCCUGGUGUAGCGGUGAAAUGCGCAGAUAUCAGGAGGAACACCAAUGGCGAAGGCAGCUCGCUGGGACGUGACUGACGCUGAGACGCGAAAGCGUGGGGAGCAAACAGG
RNAcentral lists this ribosomal RNA (253 nucleotides) under uncultured bacterium. Its description in RNAcentral is "partial 16S ribosomal RNA". It matches the Rfam family "Bacterial small subunit ribosomal RNA", at positions 524 to 776 of the family's 1533-position model. The record is from RNAcentral.